AACACUUAAGUUAUAGUCGAAAAUAUAUCCUCAUACUGAUCUCACUUCUAUCAGCAGCCGCAAGCAUUUUCGGUAUGCAUCAAUAUGCGAGCGCAUGUGUGAGAAAGAGAUGGCAUUAUAAUCGACGCGAGCGUCAAUAUGUCUUCGUGUGUAUUUUGGAGAGCCCCAUUACCCCGUUACGAUUGCGUGUAUGUAUAUAUGUAAGUAUUUAUAUAUAUGCACGUGUUUGUAGCCAGUCAGUUCGGGAUUGUGAAUAAAAAUAUUCGCUGCCCUACUUUUUUUAGUACCUGCCAUAUGAAAGGAAUGCACUUGCAGAUCUGCUCACAAUGGGUGCAAAACUUUUUAGUGGCAAAUUUUCCAAUAAAACUAAUAUAUUUAACAGCUGGGUUCAAGGUACAUCGUGUAUAUCGUAGUCAAGCUCACUCGACUACAGCACUCUUACUUGUUAACAUAGAAACAGUAUUUUGCCUUUAUAAAUUAAGUGUUAGCCAAAUACUGUUGGACACAAAAAGGGAAAUAGUUCGGCUAAUACAUGUUUGGACACGGCCAACCCGCAGCUUCUAACAAGCAAGGCUCUAAAAAUUAAGAAGAUUUACAUUUGCACAGUUUUCUACAUACUCAAAAAUAUAUCGAUAUCCUGACAAGCGAUAUACCUGCUGGUCUCUAGUUUGUCUGCAACAGCACACAGCUGAAAUUCGUGCAACUCAAGCAGCAGAAAUCUAAAGAUUUUGCAAUGAUACCAAGGCAUACCCAUCCAAUCAAAAUAAAAAUGCAAUCAACAGGUAAUACAAUUUUUUAUUAAAAGGGUGAAUUACAAAGAGAACACAACGUUGGAUCACCGAAUAAUCAAAAUAUUUACAGAAAAUAUUAUUUUAAAAAUCCAUGCGGUAAUCAAGUAAGCCCACGAUUUUUUGGUAUGGUGAAUCAGAAAUGAUUCUAGAUUGUACACCACAGCUUGAACUUGAAAAAAAGAUUACAAAUUAUGAAAAGCGUGCUCAAAAGAUUGGGAUAUUUGAUUUGAGCAUUAUUAACUAGGAUAUUAGUAAUAGUUUUUUAUGUGAAUA
Drosophila grimshawi is the source of this 1064-nucleotide long non-coding RNA. RefSeq lists it as uncharacterized. The record is from RefSeq and is a predicted model, not a curated record. The transcript has 3 exons. NCBI's taxonomy places the organism in Eukaryota, Metazoa, Arthropoda, Insecta, Diptera, Drosophilidae.